UCCCUGGUGGUCUAGUGGUUAGCACUCAGCACUUUCACUACUGCAGCCCAGGUUCAAUCCCUGGUCUGGGAA
RNAcentral lists this transfer RNA (72 nucleotides) under Sus scrofa (pig). It matches the Rfam family "tRNA". Rfam says of the family: Transfer RNA (tRNA) molecules are approximately 80 nucleotides in length. The record is from Rfam by way of RNAcentral. Lineage: Eukaryota; Metazoa; Chordata; Mammalia; Artiodactyla; Suidae.